AGAGUUUGAUCAUGGCUCAGGACGAACGCUGGCGGCACGCUUAACACAUGCAAGUCGAACGAGAGAAGAGGAGCUUGCUUUUCUGAUCUAGUGGCGGACGGGUGAGUAACACGUGAGCAAUCUGCCUUUCAGAGGGGGAUACCGAUUGGAAACGAUCGUUAAUACCGCAUAACAUAAUUGAACCGCAUGAUUUGAUUAUCAAAGAUUUAUCGCUGAAAGAUGAGCUCGCGUCUGAUUAGCUAGUUGGUAAGGUAACGGCUUACCAAGGCGACGAUCAGUAGCCGGACUGAGAGGUUGAUCGGCCACACUGGGACUGAGACACGGCCCAGACUCCUACGGGAGGCAGCAGUGGGGAAUAUUGCACAAUGGGGGAAACCCUGAUGCAGCGACGCCGCGUGAGCGAUGAAGUAUUUCGGUAUGUAAAGCUCUAUCAGCAGGGAAGAUAAUGACGGUACCUGACUAAGAAGCUCCGGCUAAAUACGUGCCAGCAGCCGCGGUAAUACGUAUGGAGCAAGCGUUAUCCGGAUUUACUGGGUGUAAAGGGAGCGUAGGCGGUCCUGCAAGUCUGAUGUGAAAGGCCGGGGCUCAACCCCGGGACUGCAUUGGAAACUGUAGGACUAGAGUGUCGGAGGGGUAAGUGGAAUUCCUAGUGUAGCGGUGAAAUGCGUAGAUAUUAGGAGGAACACCAGUGGCGAAGGCGGCUUACUGGACGACUACUGACGCUGAGGCUCGAAAGCGUGGGGAGCGAACAGGAUUAGAUACCCCGGUAGUCCACGCCGUAAACGAUGAAUACUAGGUGUUGGCAGGCAAGGCCUGUCGGUGCCGCAGCAAACGCAAUAAGUAUUCCACCUGGGGAGUACGUUCGCAAGAAUGAAACUCAAAGGAAUUGACGGGGACCCGCACAAGCGGUGGAGCAUGUGGUUUAAUUCGAAGCAACGCGAAGAACCUUACCAAGUCUUGACAUCCCGGUGACAGAACAUGUAAUGUGUUUUCCCUUCGGGGCACCGGUGACAGGUGGUGCAUGGUGUCGUCAGCUCGUGUCGUGAGAUGUUGGGUUAAGUCCCGCAACGAGCGCAACCCUUAUCCCCAGUAGCCAGCAUUUCGGAUGGGCACUCUGUGGAGACUGCCAGGGACAACCUGGAGGAAGGUGGGGAUGACGUCAAAUCAUCAUGCCCCUUAUGACUUGGGCUACACACGUGCUACAAUGGCGUAAACAAAGGGAAGCGAGACCGCGAGGUGGAGCAAAUCCCAAAAAUAACGUCCCAGUUCGGAUUGUAGUCUGCAACUCGACUACAUGAAGCUGGAAUCGCUAGUAAUCGCAGAUCAGAAUGCUGCGGUGAAUACGUUCCCGGGUCUUGUACACACCGCCCGUCACACCAUGGGAGUCGGAAAUGCCCGAAGCCGGUGGCCUAACCGCAAGGAAGGAGCCGUCGAAGGCAGGUCUGAUAACUGGGGUGAAGUCGUAACAAGGUA
This 1473-nucleotide ribosomal RNA is filed under the name metagenome. RNAcentral's name for it is "bacterial SSU rRNA". It matches the Rfam family "Bacterial small subunit ribosomal RNA". The record is from RNAcentral.